RNAcentral lists this ribosomal RNA (955 nucleotides) under Micrococcus sp. M1Ju6. RNAcentral describes it as "bacterial SSU rRNA". It matches the Rfam family "Bacterial small subunit ribosomal RNA", at positions 502 to 1453 of the family's 1533-position model. The record is from RNAcentral. Lineage: Bacteria; Bacillati; Actinomycetota; Actinomycetes; Micrococcales; Micrococcaceae.
UACGUGCCAGCAGCCGCGGUAAUACGUAGGGUGCGAGCGUAUCCGGAAAUUAUUGGGCGUAAAGAGCUCGUAGGCGGUUUGUCGCGUCUGUCGUGAAAGUCCGGGGCUUAACCCCGGAUCUGCGGUGGGUACGGGCAGACUAGAGUGCAGUAGGGGAGACUGGAAUUCCUGGUGUAGCGGUGGAAUGCGCAGAUAUCAGGAGGAACACCGAUGGCGAAGGCAGGUCUCUGGGCUGUAACUGACGCUGAGGAGCGAAAGCAUGGGGAGCGAACAGGAUUAGAUACCCUGGUAGUCCAUGCCGUAAACGUUGGGCACUAGGUGUGGGGACCAUUCCACGGUUUCCGCGCCGCAGCUAACGCAUUAAGUGCCCCGCCUGGGGAGUACGGCCGCAAGGCUAAAACUCAAAGGAAUUGACGGGGGCCCGCACAAGCGGCGGAGCAUGCGGAUUAAUUCGAUGCAACGCGAAGAACCUUACCAAGGCUUGACAUGUUCUCGAUCGCCGUAGAGAUACGGUUUCCCCUUUGGGGCGGGUUCACAGGUGGUGCAUGGUUGUCGUCAGCUCGUGUCGUGAGAUGUUGGGUUAAGUCCCGCAACGAGCGCAACCCUCGUUCCAUGUUGCCAGCACGUAAUGGUGGGGACUCAUGGGAGACUGCCGGGGUCAACUCGGAGGAAGGUGAGGACGACGUCAAAUCAUCAUGCCCCUUAUGUCUUGGGCUUCACGCAUGCUACAAUGGCCGGUACAAUGGGUUGCGAUACUGUGAGGUGGAGCUAAUCCCAAAAAGCCGGUCUCAGUUCGGAUUGGGGUCUGCAACUCGACCCCAUGAAGUCGGAGUCGCUAGUAAUCGCAGAUCAGCAACGCUGCGGUGAAUACGUUCCCGGGCCUUGUACACACCGCCCGUCAAGUCACGAAAGUUGGUAACACCCGAAGCCGGUGGCCUAACCCUUGUGGGGGAGC